This is a small nuclear RNA of Phyllostomus discolor (pale spear-nosed bat), 107 nucleotides long. NCBI's taxonomy places the organism in Eukaryota, Metazoa, Chordata, Mammalia, Chiroptera, Phyllostomidae. The record is from RefSeq and is a predicted model, not a curated record.
GUGCUCACUUUGGCAGCACAGGUGCUAAAAUGGGAAGCACACAGAGAAGGUUGAUGUGGCCCCUGCACAAGGGUGACAUGCAAAUUCGUGAAGCGUUCUGUAUUUUU